RNAcentral lists this long non-coding RNA (224 nucleotides) under Lathyrus oleraceus (garden pea). RNAcentral's name for it is "Pisum sativum (pea) long non-coding RNA (PSAT_LNC012239)". Lineage: Eukaryota; Viridiplantae; Streptophyta; Magnoliopsida; Fabales; Fabaceae. The record is from RNAcentral.
ACUUUUGAAUGAAAAGAAACAUUUAUUGAUUGAGAAAUCACCUCUAAAUAGGCCUUUACAUUAGGAGGCAAUUCCUAGGAAGAGGCAAUUGAAAAAAACAAUAAAAGAUUUAUUAGAAGAAUGGCAAUGUGAAAAACAGAUUCCCAUCAGAUUUUGAUUCUGCUAUAAUUCCUUAUGGCCUUAAUGCUCUCAUCCCAUUGCUUUAUGAAAAAAAAUGAUUUGAC